AAAACACAGACUGAGCGGCUUGAAGUUGUUUUUCUGCCUCUGUUGAAUCUGAUACAGGACAGUUCAGUAAAUACAGACCGGAACCCGAAGGUAGUAGGUCAUGGUUUGGAGAGAACUUUUCAUCUGGCUGCAGGAUUAAGAACUCCCCCAUUGGAGCAAACAAUAACUUCUGGUUAUUCAGACAUUGAUGAUUGCGGAAGUUUGCGUUGAUAGCUUUAAGAAACUCUGCUACGUGAUUGGGAUAAUUGCAAGAGAAGGCUCGGGGUACAAUGUCUCGGUGCAUUGUGAUUGCCUGCACAUGACUUCGAGGCAAGCCAAGGCGGCGUAGGAGGCGGUCUCCUCCACACAUUAUUGAUGGUGCACCAAAAGUUAUAACAGGAAGCAAGGAAGAUAGGGGAACUUCUCCCCUUAUGAACAGCAUGAGAUUGACGAGCAAUGAUAAACUUCCACCAAGAGAGUGCCCAGUAAAACGGAAAUUGGCACGACUACCGUGAGAUUUAAGAUGUGAGCGUACUUCUGGUAGCAUCUGCGCGUACAUGCCCUUUGCAGCUUCAUAAAUACCCCGGUGGACCAUCACAUCCAGACCCUCAAAUUUAACAGGUUCAAACAGUAGAUUUGCUUUCCAUGAUGCUAGUGACUCUGAUCCCUGAAUUACAAAGAAUCUUGUCAAGCUCUGAUCAUCAUCACAAACAACAUAAUAAUCUUGGGAAUAGUAAUAAUAAUAUUCAGACGCUGUAUCUGAUGAACCCUAACAGUUAUAUGCAAGGCUACACUACAACUGACACACAGCAGCACCUGCAACAGCAACAGAACCAGCACCAGUUACUUUUUCUGAAUUCAGCACCAGCAGGAGGCAACGCGCUUAGCCAUGCGAAUAUACAACACGCGCCUCUGCAACAGCAGCACUUUGUCGGCGUGCCCCUUCCGGCAGUGAGUUUGCAUGAUCAGAUCAAUCAUCACGGACUUUUACAGCGUAUGUGGAACAAUCAAGACCAAUCUCAGCAGGUGAUAGUACCGUCGUCGACGGUGGUUUCUGCCACGUCAUGUGGCGGGACCACCACGGACUUGGCGUCUCAACUGGCGUUUCAGAGGCCGAUUGUGGUGUCUCCGACACCACAACACCGACAACAACAACAACAGCAAGGCGGUCUAUCACUGAGCCUUUCUCCUCAGCAACAGCAACAAAUUAGUUUCAAUAACAAUAUUUCAUCAUCAUCACCAAGGACAAAUAAUGUUACUAUUAGAGGAACACUGGAUGGAUGUUCUAGCAACAUGAUUUUAGGCUCUAAGUAUCUGAAAGCUGCACAAGAGCUUCUUGAUGAAGUGGUUAAUAUUGUUGGAAAAAGUAACAAAGGAGAUGAUCAAAAGAAGGAUAAUUCAAUGAAUAAAGAAUUAAUUCCUUUGGUUAGUGAUGUCAAUACUAAUAGUUCUGGUGGUGGUGGUGGUGGUGAAAGUAGCAGCAGGCAGAAAAAUGAAGUUGCCAUUGAGCUUACAACUGCUCAAAGACAAGAACUUCAAAUG
RNAcentral lists this unclassified non-coding RNA (1521 nucleotides) under Hevea brasiliensis (rubber tree). The record is from RNAcentral. Lineage: Eukaryota; Viridiplantae; Streptophyta; Magnoliopsida; Malpighiales; Euphorbiaceae.